UACGUAGGGUGCAAGCGUUGUCCGGAAUUACUGGACGUAAAGAGCUCGUAGGUGGUUUGUCGCGUCGUCUGUGAAAUCCCGGGGCUUAACCUCGGGCGUGCAGGCGAUACGGGCAAUACUUGAGUGCUGUAGGGGAGACUGGAAUUCCUGGUGUAGCGGUGAAAUGCGCAGAUAUCAGGAGGAACACCAAUGGCGAAGGCAGGUCUCUGGGCAGUUACUGACGCUGAGGAGCGAAAGCAUGGGUAGCGAACAGGAUUAGA
This 260-nucleotide ribosomal RNA is filed under the name uncultured prokaryote. Its description in RNAcentral is "partial 16S ribosomal RNA". It matches the Rfam family "Bacterial small subunit ribosomal RNA", at positions 524 to 782 of the family's 1533-position model. The record is from RNAcentral.